AGAGUUUGAUCAUGGCUCAGGACGAACGCUGGCGGCGUGCUUAAUACAUGCAAGUUGAGCGGAGCCAUUGAUCAAGCUUGCGAUUCAAUGGUCGAGCGGCGGACGGGUGAGUAACGCGUGGGCAACCUGCCCUCUAGUCUGGGAUAACAGUUCGAAAGGGCUGCUAACACCGGAUAAGCUCACGGAGAGGCAUCUUUCAGUGAGAAAAGUUUACGCUAGAGGAUGGGCCCGCGUCCCAUUAGCUAGUUGGUGAGGUAACGGCUCACCAAGGCGCCGAUGGGUAGCCGACCUGAGAGGGUGACCGGCCACACUGGGACUGAGACACGGCCCAGACUCCUACGGGAGGCAGCAGUAGGGAAUUUUCCGCAAUGGGCGAAAGCCUGACGGAGCAACGCCGCGUGAGGGAAGAAGGUCUUCGGAUCGUAAACCUCUGUCUUCAGGGACGAUGAUGACGGUACCUGAGGAGGAAGCCACGGCUAACUACGUGCCAGCAGCCGCGGUAAUACGUAGGUGGCGAGCGUUGUCCGGAAUUACUGGGCGUAAAGGGCGUGUAGGCGGCCAUUUAAGUCAGAUGUGAAAUACCAUGGCUUAACCAUGGGACUGCAUUUGAGACUGGAUGGCUUGAGGAUCGGAGAGGGCAGUGGAAUUCCCAGUGUAGCGGUGAAAUGCGUAGAUAUUGGGAGGAACACCAGUGGCGAAGGCGACUGCCUGGACGACACCUGACGCUGAGGCGCGAAAGCUAGGGGAGCAAACGGGAUUAGAUACCCCGGUAGUCCUAGCCGUAAACGAUGGGUACUAGGUGUGGGAGGUAUCGACCCCUUCCGUGCCGCAGUUAACACAAUAAGUACCCCGCCUGGGGAGUACGGCCGCAAGGUUGAAACUCAAAUGAAUUGACGG
This 897-nucleotide ribosomal RNA is filed under the name uncultured bacterium. RNAcentral describes it as "bacterial SSU rRNA". It matches the Rfam family "Bacterial small subunit ribosomal RNA", at positions 8 to 916 of the family's 1533-position model. The record is from RNAcentral.